This 753-nucleotide ribosomal RNA is filed under the name uncultured Achromobacter sp. RNAcentral describes it as "bacterial SSU rRNA". It matches the Rfam family "Bacterial small subunit ribosomal RNA", at positions 28 to 776 of the family's 1533-position model. Lineage: Bacteria; Pseudomonadati; Pseudomonadota; Betaproteobacteria; Burkholderiales; Alcaligenaceae. The record is from RNAcentral.
AUUGAACGCUAGCGGGAUGCCUUACACAUGCAAGUCGAACGGCAGCACGGACUUCGGUCUGGUGGCGAGUGGCGAACGGGUGAGUAAUGUAUCGGAACGUGCCUAGUAGCGGGGGAUAACUACGCGAAAGCGUAGCUAAUACCGCAUACGCCCUACGGGGGAAAGCAGGGGAUCGCAAGACCUUGCACUAUUAGAGCGGCCGAUAUCGGAUUAGCUAGUUGGUGGGGUAACGGCUCACCAAGGCGACGAUCCGUAGCUGGUUUGAGAGGACGACCAGCCACACUGGGACUGAGACACGGCCCAGACUCCUACGGGAGGCAGCAGUGGGGAAUUUUGGACAAUGGGGGAAACCCUGAUCCAGCCAUCCCGCGUGUGCGAUGAAGGCCUUCGGGUUGUAAAGCACUUUUGGCAGGAAAGAAACGUCAUGGGUUAAUACCCCGUGAAACUGACGGUACCUGCAGAAUAAGCACCGGCUAACUACGUGCCAGCAGCCGCGGUAAUACGUAGGGUGCAAGCGUUAAUCGGAAUUACUGGGCGUAAAGCGUGCGCAGGCGGUUCGGAAAGAAAGAUGUGAAAUCCCAGAGCUUAACUUUGGAACUGCAUUUUUAACUACCGAGCUAGAGUGUGUCAGAGGGAGGUGGAAUUCCGCGUGUAGCAGUGAAAUGCGUAGAUAUGCGGAGGAACACCGAUGGCGAAGGCAGCCUCCUGGGAUAACACUGACGCUCAUGCACGGAAGCGUGGGGAGCAAACAGG